CACGUCAACACGAGUUGUUGACGUGGCAGCAAAUCGAAUUCUAGAGGGCGCGAUUUGUUGCCAUGUCAGCAUCUUGCGCUGACGUGG
Non-coding RNA from Gossypium hirsutum (cotton), 87 nucleotides. Lineage: Eukaryota; Viridiplantae; Streptophyta; Magnoliopsida; Malvales; Malvaceae. The record is from Rfam.